AUUGAACGCUGGCGGCAUGCUUUACACAUGCAAGUCGAACGGUAACAGGCCGCAAGGUGCUGACGAGUGGCGAACGGGUGAGUAAUGCAUCGGAACGUGCCCAGUCGCGGGGGAUAACUACUCGAAAGAGUAGCUAAUACCGCAUACGAUCUAUGGAUGAAAGCGGGGGACCGUAAGGGCUCGCGCGAUUGGAGCGGCCGAUGUCAGAUUAGGUAGUUGGUGGGGUAAAGGCUCACCAAGCCAACGAUCUGUAGCUGGUCUGAGAGGACGACCAGCCACACUGGGACUGAGACACGGCCCAGACUCCUACGGGAGGCAGCAGUGGGGAAUUUUGGACAAUGGGCGCAAGCCUGAUCCAGCAAUGCCGCGUGCAGGAAGAAGGCCUUCGGGUUGUAAACUGCUUUUGUACGGAACGAAACGGCUCUGGUUAAUACCCGGGGCUAAUGACGGUACCGUAAGAAUAAGCACCGGCUAACUACGUG
RNAcentral lists this ribosomal RNA (482 nucleotides) under uncultured bacterium. RNAcentral describes it as "partial 16S ribosomal RNA". It matches the Rfam family "Bacterial small subunit ribosomal RNA", at positions 30 to 507 of the family's 1533-position model. The record is from RNAcentral.